Molecule: ribosomal RNA, 498 nt
Filed under: uncultured bacterium
Lineage: Bacteria
Description: partial 16S ribosomal RNA
Rfam family: Bacterial small subunit ribosomal RNA
Source: RNAcentral
AUUGAACGCUGGCGGCAUGCCUUACACAUGCAAGUCGAACGGUAACAGGUCUUUGGAUGCUGACGAGUGGCGAACGGGUGAGUAAUACAUCGGAACGUGCCUAGUAGUGGGGGAUAACUACUCGAAAGAGUGGCUAAUACCGCAUGAGAUCUACGGAUGAACGCAGGGGAUCGCAAGACCUUGUGCUACUAGAGCGGCCGAUGGCAGAUUAGGUAGUUGGUGGGAUAAAAGCUUACCAAGCCGACGAUCUGUAGCUGGUCUGAGAGGACGAUCAGCCACACUGGGACUGAGACACGGCCCAGACUCCUACGGGAGGCAGCAGUGGGGAAUUUUGGACAAUGGGCGCAAGCCUGAUCCAGCAAUGCCGCGUGCAGGAUGAAGGCCUUCGGGUUGUAAACUGCUUCUGUACGGAACGAAAAGCCCUGGGUUAAUACCCUGGGGUCAUGACGGUACCGUAAGAAUAAGCACCGGCUAACUACGUGCCAGCCGCCGCAGUAA